This 71-nucleotide transfer RNA is filed under the name Ovis aries (sheep). It matches the Rfam family "tRNA". From Rfam's summary of the family: Transfer RNA (tRNA) molecules are approximately 80 nucleotides in length. Their secondary structure includes four short double-helical elements and three loops (D, anti-codon, and T loops). Lineage: Eukaryota; Metazoa; Chordata; Mammalia; Artiodactyla; Bovidae. The record is from Rfam by way of RNAcentral.
UCCCCGGUGUCUCAGUGGUAAAGAAUCUGCCUGCAAUGCAGAGGACACAGGUUCCAUCCCUGCUCUAGGAA